AGCGGAGAGCAAGCUUGCUUGCUCUGCCGGCGACCGGCGCACGUGUGAGUAACACGUAUGCAACCUGCCCUCCGCAGGGGGAUAACCCGGAGAAAUCCGGACUAAUACCGCGUGGUACACCAGUGGGGCAUCCCACGGGUGUUAAAAGGAAGUGAUUCCGGCGGAGGAUGGGCAUGCGGCGCAUUAGCUGGUUGGCGGGGUAACGGCCCACCAAGGCGACGAUGCGUAGGGGUUCUGAGAGGAAGGUCCCCCACACUGGUACUGAGACACGGACCAGACUCCUACGGGAGGCAGCAGUGAGGAAUAUUGGUCAAUGGGCGGGAGCCUGAACCAGCCAAGUCGCGUGAGGGAAGACGGUCCUAUGGAUUGUAAACCUCUUUAGGCGGGGAGCAAUGCCGGGCACGCGUGCCCGGAGGGAGAGUACCCGCAGAAUAAGCAUCGGCUAACUCCGUGCCAGCAGCCGCGGUAAUACGGAGGAUGCGAGCGUUAUCCGGAUUUAUUGGGUUUAAAGGGUGCGUAGGCGGAUUUUUAAGUCAGCGGUAAAAUGUCCGGGCUCAACCCGGGCCGGCCGUUGAAACUGGGGAUCUUGAGUGGGCGAGAAGUAUGCGGAAUGCGUGGUGUAGCGGUGAAAUGCAUAGAUAUCACGCAGAACUCCGAUUGCGAAGGCAGCAUACCGGCGCCCGACUGACGCUGAGGCACGAAAGCGUGGGGAUCGAACA
This 719-nucleotide ribosomal RNA is filed under the name uncultured bacterium. RNAcentral describes it as "bacterial SSU rRNA". It matches the Rfam family "Bacterial small subunit ribosomal RNA", at positions 65 to 774 of the family's 1533-position model. The record is from RNAcentral.